CUCUGAAUUAUCAGUUUCCAUUCACCUUUUAUACUUUUACAAUGUAAUGCCCAUGGGCUGGUUCCUGGCUUUGUUUAGUCAGUAACCCUGUGUGCUUUCAUUCAUGAACUGAGGGGAACUGACACACAUCCCAGUAUUUAGGCAAAAAGAGUUUUUGGAAAUACAAAUUAUGACAUUUAAGGGGUAUUUACUUGACUCUUUCACAAACAAUGAAUGCAUCCUCUUAG
This is a non-coding RNA of Pelobates cultripes (western spadefoot toad), 227 nucleotides long. The record is from the annotation of a GenBank genome assembly. NCBI's taxonomy places the organism in Eukaryota, Metazoa, Chordata, Amphibia, Anura, Pelobatidae.